UACGUAGGGUGCAAGCGUUGUCCGGAAUUAUUGGGCGUAAAGAGCUCGUAGGCGGUUUGUCGCGUCUGCUGUGAAAACUCGGGGCUUAACUCCGGGCCGGCAGUGGGUACGGGCAGACUAGAGUGCGGUAGGGGAGACUGGAAUUCCUGGUGUAGCGGUGAAAUGCGCAGAUAUCAGGAGGAACACCGGUGGCGAAGGCGGGUCUCUGGGCCGUAACUGACGCUGAGGAGCGAAAGCGUGGGGAGCGAACAGG
RNAcentral lists this ribosomal RNA (253 nucleotides) under uncultured bacterium. RNAcentral's name for it is "partial 16S ribosomal RNA". It matches the Rfam family "Bacterial small subunit ribosomal RNA", at positions 524 to 776 of the family's 1533-position model. The record is from RNAcentral.